GCUUACGGCCAUACCAACCUGGCUAUGCCUUAUCUCGUCUGAUCUCGGAAGCUAAGCAGGUUUGGGCCUGGUUAGUACUUGGAUGGGAGACCGCCUGGGAACACCAGGUGCUGUAAGCU
This is a ribosomal RNA of Carassius auratus (goldfish), 119 nucleotides long. NCBI's taxonomy places the organism in Eukaryota, Metazoa, Chordata, Actinopteri, Cypriniformes, Cyprinidae. The record is from Ensembl.